AAGGAGCAUGUCUCGUGCCGGUACCGCUCACACUGGUGGGUGGGAAUGCACGCAGAGACCACGCCGGCCCCGUACGCGGGUCGGGUGGGAGCUCAUGGGUGGAACACUGACAACCAGAACCGGCAAUGAUCGGUGCCUCCUGUGUGGGGUGCCGGGUGGGUUCUAUAUCGAUGCACUGUUGGGUCCUGAGAGAACACGCGAGUGUUACCUCUCUGGCAAGAAACGUAUGCAGGCAAUGCUGGUUGUGUCUAUCGGCUUCUCGUUGUGGGGAGUGUCUGAGGCCGGCGUGGACAGUGUUGUGUGUGUGUUGUUUGAGAACUGCACAGUGGACGCGAGCAUCUUUGUU
Molecule: unclassified non-coding RNA, 346 nt
Filed under: Rhodococcoides corynebacterioides
Lineage: Bacteria; Bacillati; Actinomycetota; Actinomycetes; Mycobacteriales; Nocardiaceae
Description: Rhodococcus corynebacterioides 16S-23S ribosomal RNA intergenic spacer region
Source: RNAcentral